AUGUCGUCUUCCGUUUGUCUCAAAAAAAGAAUGUCGUCUUCCGUGCCGUCGUCGUCCUCGCCUCGCCGUCGUUCUCCCGCGAAUCGCCGCAGCCAUGGCGCGCCUCCCGCCGCCCGCGAGCCUCAAGCUGCGGGGCGCAGACGCCGCCGUUGGGAUGAAGGGGAGAAGGAUGUGUCAACGUUGUCGUCAGCCUACGGGUCUUCCGUGGAGAAUCGGCCGAGCGAAAGCCACUGCAAGCAGCCAGAAACUUCGUCAGCUGCAGUGGAGCAGAGACCUGAUCCUGCAAUCCCGGGGGAUGAGCAGAAGUUGUGUAGUGAGAAGAUGGAUGCAAAGACCCACACUGAUCACAAGGAGGGUCAAUCCAGAAGUGCUCGUCGCAAAAAGAUGAAAAGACAGAUAAUGGCAGAAUCUAGAAUGGAACUGAGGGAGCUCAAGCUGUGGGGUGCAGAUGCCGCCGUUGAAUCCCGCGUGCACCGCCCCCUGGAGCCGCCGCGGCUGGCCGGGAACCUCCACCAGCAUGUGUCUCUGUGUUCUGCCAGCAGGCGCCAGGAACCAAAUCCGCCGCCGAGCAGUCGAAACCGGUUGCAGGCGCCGCCGCCACUGAAAUCCAAAGUUAGGCCUCGAGCAAGGUCGCCGCCGAUCACUCAGCUCCUAGCGGAGCAGCAGCACGCCAAGCGGCCACACCGAGGCGAGGCGGACUCGGCCGAGGUUGCUGUUGAAGGUAAGGAGGAAGGGGGGAGGGCGGUGUCAAUGUUGUUGUCAGUCGAUGGGUCAUCCGUGGAGAAUCGGCCAAGCCACAGCAACUGCAACUGCGAGCAGCCAGAAACUUCAUCAGCUGCAGCGGAGAGACCUGAUCCUGCAAUCCCGGGGGAUGAUCAGAAGUUGGGUAGUGGGAAGAGGGAUGCAAAGACCCAGACUGAUAACAAGGAGGGUCCAUCCAGAAGUGCUCGUCGCAAAAAGAUGAAAAAACAGAUACGGGCAGAAUCUGAAAAGGAACUGAGGGAGAUGAAAAAGGAUAAGCUGUUAGAAAACAUUAAAAAGCUGCAAGCUUGUAUCUGGCUUCUUGAGAAGGAAGGUGCAGACACGGCUGAAAUCAUGGAAUUCAGGAGUUUGCUUGAAUCGACGAAGAUGCAGUAUGUGCAGUAUGUGGAGAAUGAGACACAGUUGGCAAAGGAAGGAUCGAGUGCAUCACCUCAGGCGCUAAACAAGGAUAGACUCGAGAAAAUGCAUGUGGAAGCUCGUAUAGAGAAGGUUGAGAGAGAUGAGCAGAACUUGGAUUCUGGAAAGGCAGAGGGCAGUAGCCUGAUAGGUUUCAAGGCAAUCCUGAAACAGAACAAAUUAGCGGAGGAGGUGAAUUUUCUUAAGAGUGAACUUGAAGCAGUCAGGCAAGAUCGUGAGUAUCAAUUAGCUCAGGUGCAAUCUUUGACGGUUGACAUAGCUAAGCAGAAAGAAGUUGCAAGAAAGUGUGGGGCUGAGCUAGAGAAUGCCAUGAGGAGAGUUGCUGCCCUCGAGGAAGGAGGCCUGUUGCAAAGGGAGACAAUCAGAACGUUGCAGAUUCAGCUUGCUUCUGCAAAUGAGAAACUAACGGGGCUGCCUUCUUCCACCAAAGAUUGA
This 1614-nucleotide ribosomal RNA is filed under the name Triticum aestivum (bread wheat). RNAcentral's name for it is "partial small subunit ribosomal RNA". Lineage: Eukaryota; Viridiplantae; Streptophyta; Magnoliopsida; Poales; Poaceae. The record is from RNAcentral.